This is a long non-coding RNA of Entelurus aequoreus (snake pipefish), 760 nucleotides long. RefSeq lists it as uncharacterized. NCBI's taxonomy places the organism in Eukaryota, Metazoa, Chordata, Actinopteri, Syngnathiformes, Syngnathidae. The record is from RefSeq and is a predicted model, not a curated record. The transcript has 3 exons.
AGCGGGCAAAGCGGAGGAGACAGCAGUAUGCCUCAAAUAUCAGGCAGCCAAAAAAGAAAGGAAAAUAAAAUAAGAGAGGAGAAGGAGUUGAAGGGUCGACAAUAUGUCACCCAAUAUUUCCAAAAAAAGAGUCAAGUGCACCAGCAGCAGCAGCAGCAGCAGCUGUCUGUCAGCCCCCAACUCCCCCUGCCCCUGAAUCACUCCAGUGCCCCCACAUGAGGAAGGAGGGUUGCGGGGGGUGCUGGAGCCUAUCUCAGCUGCAUUCGGGCAGUAGGCAGGGUAGACCCUGGACAAGUCGCCACCUCAUCGCAGGGCAAACACAGAUAAACAGACAACAUUCACACUCACUUUCACACACUAGGGCCAAUUAGAUUUUUUUUAAAUUUAACAAGGGAAAAUCAUAAUGGAUUAAUACAGAAAACAAUAUUGACAAAGUACAGCAAAUAUUUACUAAGAGGACAAAAAAGUCAGCCUUUUUCCCCUGAAGGUUAAAUAUACUUUUGUUUAAAAAAAGUAUAAUAUGGGACCUUACUUAAAAUGGUAUUUAUGAUAGUGACAGUUUGAUCAAAGUAAUGUAUUGUAUUAUUUACUGAUAAAUUAAGGCAAAUGUCAGAAAACUACUACUGUAUGAUCAACUAAAUAAAGUAACAAUUUUUUGUGGUAUUUUACCUUCCAUCUGUACAUAUUAGUGAGCAAUAUGUUGUAUGUAUUACUAUUUUGUGUUUUUCUUUACGCUUUACUUCUGUUACUGUAUGUAAAA